RNAcentral lists this ribosomal RNA (255 nucleotides) under uncultured bacterium. Its description in RNAcentral is "partial 16S ribosomal RNA". It matches the Rfam family "Bacterial small subunit ribosomal RNA", at positions 524 to 776 of the family's 1533-position model. The record is from RNAcentral.
UACGUAGGGUGCGAGCGUUAAUCGGAAUUACUGGGCGUAAAGCGUGCGCAGGCGGUCUGUUAAGACCGAUGUGAAAUCCCCGGGCUUAACCUGGGAACUGCAUUGGUGACUGGCAGGCUUUGAGUGUGGCAGAGGGAGGUAGAAUUCCACGUGUAGCAGUGAAAUGCGUAGAGAAUGUGGAGGAAUACCGAUGGCGAAGGCAGCCUCCUGGGCCAACACUGACGCUCAUGCACGAAAGCGUGGGGAGCAAACAGG